Molecule: long non-coding RNA, 588 nt
Organism: Cyprinus carpio carpio
Lineage: Eukaryota; Metazoa; Chordata; Actinopteri; Cypriniformes; Cyprinidae
Source: Ensembl
UGACGACCCGUCUGUACACUUGUGUUUCCUUUCAAACCCCCAGGGUUGUCACCAUGUGAUGUUUAUAUGUGUGUACAUGUGACGUCAGUUUGUGACGUGUACAUUCUUCCUCCGCUGGGACACUCCAACUGCAUAUUUCACAUGAAUGUGAAACACGACCUCACUACGAUAGCAAUUAUUUGUGAGAAGACAUGAGGAGGCCAAGGGAGGAGCAGAAACAGUUAUACCCCUGGAGAUAUCGCUCUACCGGCUCAGAAGGAAGAAACUCAUACAUGUCUGAAACAACUUGAGGAUUCCACAUGUUCACAGUUGAUUUGAGGGGUGGAAUGUAUGAAGGAUCUUCAAAAUAGAGUCUUCCCUGUCCACACAGCACAUGCAGGGGUCACAACCUUUUCUUUCUUUAGUUCAUCAUUGAUGGGAACUUAUGCAAGAGCAGAGUGUAAAGUCAAAACAGACUGGGGAUGUGUGCCAGGUUUUCUCAACGUAAUUCACCAACCUGCCGCUUGCCACAUAAGAGAGAUGGCUCAUUUCCCCAGAGUGCAUUGAGGCAGACUGUAGAGCUACAGACUGUAAUUGGAAUCAUUAAAU